RNAcentral lists this small RNA (28 nucleotides) under Bombyx mori (domestic silkworm). Its description in RNAcentral is "ovarian small RNA-38212". The record is from RNAcentral. Lineage: Eukaryota; Metazoa; Arthropoda; Insecta; Lepidoptera; Bombycidae.
UUUAAACUGACUAGAUAUUGUGGUAUCC